RNAcentral lists this ribosomal RNA (468 nucleotides) under uncultured bacterium. RNAcentral's name for it is "partial 16S ribosomal RNA". It matches the Rfam family "Bacterial small subunit ribosomal RNA", at positions 28 to 507 of the family's 1533-position model. The record is from RNAcentral.
GACGAACGCUGGCGGCGUGCUUAACACAUGCAAGUCGAACGGAAAGGCCCUGCUUUUGUGGGGUGCUCGAGUGGCAAACGGGUGAAUAACGCGUGAGUAACCUGCCCUUGACUUUGGUAUAACUUCGGGAAACUGUGGCUAAUACCGGAUAGGAGCUCCUGCUGCAUGGUGGGGGUUGGAAAGUUUUGGCGGUUGGGGAUGGACUCGCGGCUUAUCAGCUUGUUGGUGGGUUAGUGGCUUACCAAGGCAUUGACGGGUAGCCGGCCUGAGAGGGUGACCGGCCACAUUGGGACUGAGAUACGGCCCAGACUCCUACGGGAGGAAGCAGUGGGGAAUAUUGCACAAUGGGCGGAAGCCUGAUGCAGCAACGCCGCGUGCGGGAUGACGGCCUUCGGGUUGUAACCCGCUUUCGCCUGUGACGAAGCGUGAGUGACGGUAAUGGGUAAAGAAGCACCGGCUAACUACGUG